AUUCCCCUAGUAACUGCGAGUGAAGCGGGAAAAGCUCAAAUUUAAAAUCUGGUGGUCUUUGGCCAUCCGAGUUGUAAUUUAGAGAAGCGUCUUCCGCGCUGGACCGUGCACAAGUCUCCUGGAAUGGAGCGUCAUAGAGGGUGAGAAUCCCGUCUUUGGCACGGACAUGCCAGUGCUUUUGUGAUGCGCUCUCGAAGAGUCGAGUUGUUUGGGAAUGCAGCUCAAAAUGGGUGGUGAACUCCAUCUAAAGCUAAAUAUUGGCGAGAGACCGAUAGCGAACAAGUACCGUGAGGGAAAGAUGAAAAGCACUUUGGAAAGAGAGUGAAACAGUACGUGAAAUUGUUGAAAGGGAAACGCUUGAAGUCAGUCGCGUCGACCGAGACUCAGCCUCGCCUUGGCUUGGUGUACUUCUCGGCCGACGGGUCAGCAUCAAUUUUGCCUCUUGGAUAAUGGCGAGGGAAAUGUGACACCUUUACGGUGUGUUAUAGUCUCUCGUCGCAUGCAAGGGUUGGGAUUGAGGAACUCAGCACGCGCCUUCGGGUGUCGGGGUUUUGCCCACGAUACGUGCUUAGGAUGUUGGCGUAAUGGCUUUAAACGACCCGUCUUGAAACACGGACCAAGGAGUCUAACAUGCCUGCGAGUGUUCGGGUGGAAAACCCGUGCGCGCAAUGAAAGUGAAAGUUGGGACCUCCGUCGUGGAGGGCACCGACGCCCGGACCAGACCUUCUGUGACGGCUCUGCGGUAAAGCAUGUAUGUUAGGACCCGAAAGAUGGUGAACUAUGCCUGAAUAGGGUGAAGCCAGAGGAAACUCUGGUGGAGGCUCGUAGCGAUUCUGACGUGCAAAUCGAUCGUCAAAUUUGGGUAUAGGGGCGAAAGACUAAUCGA
The sequence is a ribosomal RNA, 886 nucleotides long. It matches the Rfam family "Eukaryotic large subunit ribosomal RNA", at positions 74 to 938 of the family's 3401-position model.